UUAAAUGGCCGCGGUAUUUUGACCGUGCAAAGGUAGCAUAAUCAUUUGUCUUUUAAUUAAAGGCUUGUAUGAAUGGUUGGAUGAGGAAUUAACUUUUUUAUUUUAAUAAAUUGAAAUUUAAUUUUUAGUAAAAAUGCUAAAAUAUCUAUAUAAGACGAGAAGACCCUUUAAAUCUUUAUUAUUUUAAUUAUAAUUUAGUAUUUAAUAUAAUUUAUUUAUAUAAUUAAAAUAAUUUUAUUGGGGUGAUAUUGAAAUUUUUAAAACUUUCAAAUUAUUUUCCAUUAAUAAAUGAAUUUUUGAUCCAUUAUUAAUGAUUAAUAAAUUAAGUUACUUAAGGGAUAACAGCGUAAUUAUUUUGGAGAGUUCAAAUCGAUAAAAUAGAUUGCGACCUCGAUGUUGAAUUAANAGUAAUUCUAGGUGUAGAAGUUUANAUUUUAAGUCUGUUCGACUUUUAAAUUCUUACAUGAUUUGAGUUCAAACCGG
This 483-nucleotide ribosomal RNA is filed under the name Catapagurus sp. USNM 1297635. RNAcentral's name for it is "partial large subunit ribosomal RNA". It matches the Rfam family "Bacterial large subunit ribosomal RNA", at positions 1923 to 2619 of the family's 2925-position model. Lineage: Eukaryota; Metazoa; Arthropoda; Malacostraca; Decapoda; Paguridae. The record is from RNAcentral.